Pollicipes pollicipes is the source of this 233-nucleotide long non-coding RNA. RefSeq lists it as uncharacterized. The record is from RefSeq and is a predicted model, not a curated record. NCBI's taxonomy places the organism in Eukaryota, Metazoa, Arthropoda, Thecostraca, Pollicipedomorpha, Pollicipedidae. The transcript has 3 exons.
CCGCUGGGUACGACACGCCCGGCUUUAUCACUCCUGAUCAGCUGCUGACUCAGCUGACUCAGGAGGAGCUGUUGCUGACGCUGACGCGGCAGUUGCUGCAGCCCCGCACGUUCUCCCUGUACCGCGGCCAGUCGCUUUUCAUCGCCGGCCUGGCCCGGCUCGACUACAGGGCCGGUCCCAGCAUGGCUAGGCUGACUGUGUUCGCAUCCUCCGAACUCCCCGUCACCGUCACG